GCGGCAGGCUUAACACAUGCAAGUCGAACGCAUCCUUCGGGGUGAGUGGCAGACGGGUGAGUAACACGUGGGAACGUACCCCUUUGUUCGGAAUAACCCUGGGAAACUAGGGCUAAUACCGGAUACGGCCGGAAGGCGAAAGGUUUACUGCAGAGGGAUCGGCCCGCGUCCGAUUAGCUAGUUGGUGUGGUAAUGGCGCACCAAGGCGACGAUCGGUAGCUGGUCUGAGAGGAUGGCCAGCCACAUUGGGACUGAGACACGGCCCAAACUCCUACGGGAGGCAGCAGUGGGGAAUAUUGGACAAUGGGCGCAAGCCUGAUCCAGCCAUGCCGCGUGAGUGAUGACGGCCUUAGGGUUGUAAAGCUCUUUUACCUGGGAAGAUAAUGACGGUACCAGGAGAAUAAGCCCCGGCUAACUUCGUGCCAGCAGCCGCGGUAAUACGAAGGGGGCUAGCGUUGUUCGGAUUUACUGGGCGUAAAGGGCGCGUAGGCGGACUGAUAAGUCAGGGGUGAAAUCCCAAGGCUCAACCUUGGAACUGCCUUUGAUACUGUUUGUCUUGAGUUCGAGAGAGGUAAGUGGAACUGC
RNAcentral lists this ribosomal RNA (585 nucleotides) under uncultured bacterium. RNAcentral describes it as "bacterial SSU rRNA". It matches the Rfam family "Bacterial small subunit ribosomal RNA", at positions 39 to 670 of the family's 1533-position model. The record is from RNAcentral.